GAGAAAGGAGACACAGGGUUCGGCUAAUAUAGCAUGACUACUACUAUAUUAUACUAUACCAUUAAUUAAUGACAGAAUUUUCAUUUUUGGGUGAACUAUCCCUUUAACAGUAUUGUGAAGGAGGGCCUCUGCCUUAUGGCAAUUGCAUAUUUUGAGUUUUUGUAUUUGGAAUAAGGUCUCUGGGCUAUUUUUGAUUGGCCAAUGGACUAGUUGUGCUACCAGACCUGGCAACCCUGAGGAGACAGAGGAGAGAAAACCAAGAAGAAGAGGCAGAAAAAGAGCAGGCUUUUGAGGUUGGCCUCUUUUUUUUCCUCUUGUUUCUCAUCAAGAAAUUUCAGCUGAGAAAGCUGAACCGUGAGAAGAUCUCAAGGAUCGAGGGUUCCCCUGUAGGUCAUGGUGAAAAGCGUUAGCCUUGCAUCCGGCUUGAGGUGGUAGUUUUUGCAUUCUGGGAAACUUUUAGUAUUAGUUAAGUUAGUUAAACAUUGCAUCAUCCAGUCAUAUUUUUAUAAUGGAGUCACCCAGAGCUCCCUGUCAAGUUCAUGCUAAAAGAUCCCACCAGCAGCAGCUCCCAGAGACAGAGAUGAUCUUACUAUUGGGAGAUGAGAGGGUCUGUAUUACUUAGUAUUGGAGAAAGUGUAACGGUUAACUUGGAUCACGUCUGUCUUAAUAACCAAUCACAUUACAGCCUCGACGUCAUUGAGUUUCAGUCACAGUUGUGCGACACUCAAUCGCCGUUUACGGAUCCCAUAGGAAUGAAUGAGAAGUGGGGUGAUUCCUCCAUUAACA
This is a long non-coding RNA of Onychostoma macrolepis, 786 nucleotides long. RefSeq lists it as uncharacterized. The record is from RefSeq and is a predicted model, not a curated record. Lineage: Eukaryota; Metazoa; Chordata; Actinopteri; Cypriniformes; Cyprinidae. The transcript has 3 exons.